RNAcentral lists this ribosomal RNA (292 nucleotides) under uncultured bacterium. RNAcentral's name for it is "partial 16S ribosomal RNA". It matches the Rfam family "Bacterial small subunit ribosomal RNA", at positions 505 to 796 of the family's 1533-position model. The record is from RNAcentral.
GUGCCAGCCGCCGCGGUAAUACGGAGGGGGCGAGCGUUGUUCGGAAUCAUUGGGCGUAAAGGGCGCGUAGGCGGCCGGCCAAGUCGGGUGUGAAAUCCCUCGGCUCAACCGAGGAACUGCACUCGAUACUGGCUGGCUCGAGUCCGGGAGGGGAUGGUGGAAUUCCCAGUGUAGCGGUGAAAUGCGUAGAUAUUGGGAAGAACACCGGUGGCGAAGGCGGCCAUCUGGACCGGAACUGACGCUGAGGCGCGAAAGCCAGGGGAGCGAAUGGGAUUAGAAACCCCAGUAGUCC